This 419-nucleotide ribosomal RNA is filed under the name uncultured bacterium. RNAcentral's name for it is "bacterial SSU rRNA". It matches the Rfam family "Bacterial small subunit ribosomal RNA", at positions 38 to 502 of the family's 1533-position model. The record is from RNAcentral.
GGCGGCACGCCUUAUACAUGCAAGUCGAACGAAGUAGCAAUACUUAGUGGCAGACGGGUGAGUAACAUGUAGGUAUCUACCCUUUGGUGAGGAAUAACACGAGGAAACUUGUGCUAAUACCUCAUAAGUCUUUACGGAGAAAGCUUUAUGCGCCGAAGGAUGAGCCUGCACUUGAUUAGUUUGUUGGUGGGGUAAUGGCCUACCAAGACUUUGAUCUAUAGCUGAUCUGAGAGGAUGAUCAGCCACAUUGGGACUGAGACACGGCCCAAACUCCUACGGGAGGCAGCAGUAGGGAAUAUUGCACAAUGGAGGAAACUCUGAUGCAGCGAUGCCGCGUGAGUGAAGAAGGCCUUUGGGUUGUAAAGCUCUUUCGUCGGGGAAGAAAAUGACUGUACCCGAAUAAGAAGGUCCGGCUAACU